AGGGAAUCUUCCGCAAUGGACGAAAGUCUGACGGAGCAACGCCGCGUGAGUGAUGAAGGUUUUCGGAUCGUAAAGCUCUGUUGCCAGGGAAGAACGUCCUGUAGAGUAACUGCUACAGGAGUGACGGUACCUGAGAAGAAAGCCCCGGCUAACUACGUGCCAGCAGCCGCGGUAAUACGUAGGGGGCAAGCGUUGUCCGGAAUUAUUGGGCGUAAAGCGCGCGCAGGCGGCUGUUUAAGUCUGGUGUUUAAUCCUGGGGCUCAACCCCGGGUCGCACUGGAAACUGGGCAGCUUGAGUGCAGAAGAGGAGAGUGGAAUUCCACGUGUAGCGGUGAAAUGCGUAGAGAUGUGGAGGAACACCAGUGGCGAAGGCGACUCUCUGGGCUGCAACUGACGCUGAGGCGCGAAAGCGUGGGGAGCAAAC
RNAcentral lists this ribosomal RNA (424 nucleotides) under uncultured bacterium. RNAcentral describes it as "bacterial SSU rRNA". It matches the Rfam family "Bacterial small subunit ribosomal RNA", at positions 356 to 773 of the family's 1533-position model. The record is from RNAcentral.